GAUGAACGCUGGCGGCGUGCCUAAUACAUGCAAGUCGAGCGAACAGACGAGGAGCUUGCUCCUCUGACGUUAGCGGCGGACGGGUGAGUAACACGUGGAUAACCUACCUAUAAGACUGGGAUAACUUCGGGAAACCGGAGCUAAUACCGGAUAAUAUAUUGAACCGCAUGGUUCAAUAGUGAAAGACGGUUUUGCUGUCACUUAUAGAUGGAUCCGCGCCGCAUUAGCUAGUUGGUAAGGUAACGGCUUACCAAGGCAACGAUGCGUAGCCGACCUGAGAGGGUGAUCGGCCACACUGGAACUGAGACACGGACCAGACUCCUACGGGAGGCAGCAGUAGGGAAUCUUCCGCAAUGGGCGAAAGCCUGACGGAGCAACGCCGCGUGAGUGAUGAAGGUCUUCGGAUCGUAAAACUCUGUUAUUAGGGAAGAACAAAUGUGUAAGUAACUAUGCACGUCGUGACGGUACCUAAUCAGAAAGCCACGGCUAACUACGUG
This 497-nucleotide ribosomal RNA is filed under the name uncultured bacterium. RNAcentral's name for it is "partial 16S ribosomal RNA". It matches the Rfam family "Bacterial small subunit ribosomal RNA", at positions 28 to 507 of the family's 1533-position model. The record is from RNAcentral.